AUAAUGGGGAUUGGGGUGGGGAAUACAAAACUAAACCCCACCCCGUUAAGAAUCUGGGGAUUAUUUCUCCCACAUUCCCCACUCUAUUCUCCAAAAAUUAUUUAAAAUUUUCCUCAUUUGGGGUGGGACUCCAUAGGGCCCCGAACUCAUGGAGAAUUUUGCCCUCCCUACCCAUCAUUUCUAGACUCUAGCCAUUUUAUGAGUGAAGGCACAUAGAAACUUCAUAAGCCGGAAUGCAUACUUACCUUUCAUGCAAACCAUACAAAAAAAUAAGCCCAAAUGGCGUAAAUACAUCAGCAGCAAUGCCAAAAUUCGUAUUCCAUCUUAAUUUGCAUAAUUUAUAGUGGAUCCAAAUGUGAGUAAUAUCCAUACACAUUCUGGGCGGAUAUUCUAAUUAUGUGAAUCCACACAUUUAAAAUAUUUAUUUGUAAAUUUAUAACGUUUUAAUUGUUAAAAAAAUAAUCUUCUAAUACAAGACAAAUGUAAAAUAAUCUAAAAUAAUAUUUAUGAGUACUUGGGUGUAUUAUAAUAUUUAUGUGUAAUGUGUUUAGAGCUUAUGAUUUGUGUUUUCUUACAUAAAUUAUGUUUUUUAUUUAAUUUAUUUAAAAAAAAUAUCCAGAUACAGAUUUUUUUUUUUUUACACACUGUGCAAAUCCUCAAUUUAUACAUCUGGAUCCGUAUUUUUUAUUAUACGAAUUUAAUUUUUUUCAAAUCCAAAUUUUUUUUUAUCUUUAGAGAUGCAGGCCGAAUCUGAAUUUAUUUGCCAUCUCUGCAUGAUAGGAAAGAAGGCAGCUAAGCCAUGGCAUCCAUGCAUCAAGCGACCUUGAAUUAACACAACGUGCAUAUUUUAAGGCUGCAGUUUGAAUUCUUCCUUUUUAUUCCAUACACUUAAAAUUGAAAAACUUGGGAGGAAGAAUGCCGGCUUUCGGAUCCCAUUUAGAUUAAUAAUAUUUUGGGAAGGGCCAUGAAUGUGCCCAUUUAGUAAGUGGAGAGUACUCAUUUGGGCAUAUUUUAAGCCCAAUAUAUAUAUAUACUCUUAAACUCCCACCAUUAAAUAAAUGAGAAUUAACAUAAUUCUUUCAUUUCUUGUUAUCAAAUAACCGAACAAGUUAUAUUUAUGACUUAAUUAAAUAACAAGAUCGCUUAAAUGGAUAGCAAUAAUUAUUAAUUUAAACGGAUAGUAAUUAUACACUUUAUUUAUUUAUCAUGCGGACCAUUUAUUGGAAAUUCUUACAUAUGCUAGAAAAAAUAAGAUUAAUGUCUCUAUGAAAAGCUCCAAAUUAGUGAAAACUAGGGGAUCAAUCGAUUCUGCGAGUUUUCUCGAGUUCGGGGAUGUUGGGAUAAUCUCAUCACUCAUUAGCAAUCAGGCAUAUUCAAUUUUUCCCCUGUGGUUUGUGAUCAACGUAACCAAUAGCUAUCUCAACUAUGUUAAUUCACAAGAUAAAUAGUUUUAAAGUAAAAACGAGAAAUUGAUCUUCAAUUUAAACUUCCGAAUACGUUUAUUAAUAGUAAACGAAGCUUUGUUUUUCAAAAUACUUACUUAGGUAACCUCACUCUUCCAAUAUUACCCAUUUCAUUUAUUUUAAUUUAGAUCUACAAAUUAGGGCAGAAAAUAUAAAUAACUUUCAGAGAUAACAAAAAAAAAAAUUACAGCAUUCAAUUGCGAGCUUUGUGAAUUGAUUGCAUUAGAUAACAAAAAAAAUAGCUAGGUUUAUAUCUAUCUCAAUUUCUUAGCUCACAGGUAACAUGUUAUUUUGGGAAGCAGAUUAAUGUGAUAUAUGAACAAUCAAAAAAUAUAAUGCCAUCAACUUCUCAUUCUCAAGAAAAUCCUAAGAAGGUGAAUUUUAUUGAUGUUAAUAGUACAUUCAGUACCAUUCAGAGUUUAGAUCACUUAUAUUAAUUUCGAUCAGUCUUUGAAUUCGGAAAGGAAUAUCCUUAUAAAUUAUUAAUAAGUCUUGAAAAAAUAAAAAAAUCUAUGUUACUCACAACCUUAAAUUAGUUGUUUUUCCAAAUAUUGUCAGGGUCACAUAUACGGUCGAAGUCACCGUCCACAAUUACGACAACAAUUAUAAACUGUUAAAUUUUAAUUUCAACAAUAUAUAGGAGCAACAUAAGCAGCUGUGGAAACUUUAAUGACAGUAUGUAGCCACGAGAAUUAACUGCAACGUAGCCAACUUUAAUUAAUUUUUUACUGUAUUAUCUCAUUAAGUUUUGUUUAAUACUGCUGUAUUAUUAUUUUUUAUCCUUCAUUCAUUAAUUAGCCGUCACAAGAAAAGAGAGUUUCUGUAAGCCCCAAUGUGACUGCAAAAAGGCAGGCAUUACAAACGCCACUUAAUUUAUGAUCGAAAAAUACUUAUGUUUGUAAACGUUAGUGGCUGUGACAAAAGACUCCACCUUUGCCAUACCUCAGCCAUCACAAAGUCAAUUAAUAUUUUAGUAGUCUUAAAAAUUUCAAAUUGUGAAUUAAAAAAAAAAUGAUGAAUCUCGACACGAUAUCUGCAAUGGUCAUUAAUGAGGUAUUAUCGGUAAAUAGAACGUAAAAUAAGUAAAGUAAAAUAAAAUAGAACAUAAAUGAUGUAAAUAAUAAGUAAAUAAGUAAAUAAAAUAGAACAUAAAUAAAACAUAAAUGAAGUAAAUAGAACAUAAGACUUGUAAAUGAAAGGUUAAAUAAGUAAAUUAAUUUAGGAGUAGUAAAUUGAUGUAUUAUUGGUAAAUAAAAUAAAAACUUAUCACUAUAAUAUAAAACUAGUAAAUUAACAUUAUAUGUAAAAUAAAGCAUUAAUCAAGCAAAUAAAACAUAAGACCUAUAAAUAGAAAGUAAAAGUGUGUUAUUGGUAAAUAAAACCAAAACUUAUAGAUAUGAUAUAAAACUUGUAAAUCCAUAUUAAGUAUAAAAUAAAAUAUAAAUGAUGUAAAUAGAACAUACGACUUGUAAAUGAUAAGUAAAUUAAGAAAAUUAACUUAGGAAUAGUAAAUUGAUAUAUUAUUGGUAAAUAUAACAAAAAUUUAUCAGUAUAACAUAAAACUCGUAAAUCAACAUUAUAUGUAAAAUAAAUUAUUAAUUAAGUAAAUAAAACAUAAGACCUGUAUAUAUAAGAUAAAUCAAGUAGAUUAACAUAACAGUGGUAAAAUGAUGUAUUAUUGGUAAAUAAAGCAUAAACUUACAUCUAACUUACAAAUGUAACAUAAAAUCUGUAAAUUAACAUUAUGUGUAAAAUAACAUAUAAAUUCUAUAAAUGAAAUAGAAAACCUAUAAAUGACAUGUAAAAUAAGUAAAUAUUAUAAGAGUUAUUAAAAAAAUAGAAACUUACAAAUGUAAAAUAAAAAUUCACAAUUUACUGUUUUUAUUUCUAAAAUGAAGAAUGAUAAUUUUGGUUCUAUGUAAUAUCUAUGACGAUAUAUACGA
RNAcentral lists this long non-coding RNA (3406 nucleotides) under Citrus x clementina. RNAcentral describes it as "Citrus clementina (C. clementina) long non-coding RNA (CCLE_LNC002525)". The record is from RNAcentral. Lineage: Eukaryota; Viridiplantae; Streptophyta; Magnoliopsida; Sapindales; Rutaceae.